GGGCCGUUAGCUCAGUUGGCAGAGCACCUGACUUUUAAUCAGGGUGUCGCAGGUUCGAUUCCUGCACGGCCUACCA
Molecule: transfer RNA, 76 nt
Filed under: Chloroflexota bacterium
Lineage: Bacteria; Bacillati; Chloroflexota
Also listed under: 1 other name
Description: Chloroflexi bacterium (freshwater metagenome) tRNA-Lys
Rfam family: tRNA
About the family: Transfer RNA (tRNA) molecules are approximately 80 nucleotides in length. Their secondary structure includes four short double-helical elements and three loops (D, anti-codon, and T loops).
Source: RNAcentral